Molecule: transfer RNA, 71 nt
Filed under: Aneides hardii (Sacramento mountain salamander)
Lineage: Eukaryota; Metazoa; Chordata; Amphibia; Caudata; Plethodontidae
Description: tRNA-Pro
Rfam family: tRNA
About the family: Transfer RNA (tRNA) molecules are approximately 80 nucleotides in length. Their secondary structure includes four short double-helical elements and three loops (D, anti-codon, and T loops).
Source: RNAcentral
CGGGCGAUAGUUUAGUUUUAAAACCUUGGCUUUGGGUGCCGAAAAAGGGAGGGCGGAACUCCUUUACCCGA